CCUACGGGAGGCAGCAGUGGGGAAUAUUGCACAAUGGGGGAAACCCUGAUGCAGCGACGCCGCGUGAGUGAGGAAGUAUUUCGGUAUGUAAAGCUCUAUCAGCAGGGAAGAAAAUGACGGGACCUGACUAAGAAGCCGCGGCUAACUACGUGCCAGCAGCCGCGGUAAUACGUAGGGGGCAAGCGUAAUCCGGAUUUACUGGGUGUAAAGGGAGAGUAGACGGCUAAUCAAGUCAGAAGGGAAAACCCAGGGCUCAACCUUGGGAGUGCGUUUGAAACUGAGGAGCUCGAGUGCAGGAGAGGUAAGCGGAAUGCCUAGUGGAGCGGUGAAAUGCGUAGAUAUUAGGAGGAACACCAGUGGCGAAGGCGGCUUACUGGACUGUAACUGACGUUGAGGCUCGAAAGCGUGGGGAGCAAACAGGAUUAGAUACCCGAGUAGUC
Molecule: ribosomal RNA, 440 nt
Filed under: uncultured bacterium
Lineage: Bacteria
Description: partial 16S ribosomal RNA
Rfam family: Bacterial small subunit ribosomal RNA
Source: RNAcentral